Molecule: ribosomal RNA, 567 nt
Filed under: Cynoglossus semilaevis (tongue sole)
Lineage: Eukaryota; Metazoa; Chordata; Actinopteri; Pleuronectiformes; Cynoglossidae
Description: partial 16S ribosomal RNA
Rfam family: Bacterial large subunit ribosomal RNA
Source: RNAcentral
CGCCUCUUGCCAUACCCAUAUAAGAGGUCGUACCUGCCCAAUGAUACACAUUUAAUGGCCGCGGUAUUCUGACCGUGCAAAGGUAGCGUAAUCACUUGUCCUUUAAAUGAGGACCCGUAUGAAUGGUUUGACGAGGGCUUAACUGUCUCCUCUCCUAAAUCAAUGAAAUUGAUCUCUUCGUGCAAAAGCGAAGAUAAAAACAUAAGACGAGAAGACCCUGUGGAGCUUAAGAUAAAAAUAUAGACUUAGACCAGAGACUUUAAAAAUAAAUAAAGCCAAAAACUUUUAUAUAAUAUCUUCAGUUGGGGCGACUACGGAGAAUAAAAAACCUCCGCGAAGACAAGAACAUAAAUUCCCAAAACUUAGAAACACCCUUCAACCCAAUAGAAUUUCUAACUUUUAUUGAUCCAACCUGUUGAUCAACGGAAAAAGUUACCCCAGGGAUAACAGCGCAAUCCCCUUUCAGAGUCCCUAUCGACAAGGGGGUUUACGACCUCGAUGUUGGACCAGGACAUCCUAAUGGUGCAGCCGCUAUUAAGGGUUCGUUUGUUCAACGAUUAAAGUCCU